CAUGAAUAUUAGACUUUAGCUAUAUGAGAUUUUUUUAAGCAUUUUUUCCAUUUAGAGACAAGCAAUGUGUAUGGAGUAAAGAAGAUGAACUUGAUGGAAAUAGUGGCUCAGGCAGAAGCCUUCCUAAUUCACAGAAGUAUAAGGAGGAGGAGGAGGUCCAGGACAAUCAGACAUGAAUCCUUUUCUUAAAUUGUUUGCAAUGUGAAACAGAUAACUGAUCUCUGAUCAUAGUUAAAAAGUGGCACAUUGAUGCUUGCCAGAAGGGAACCGAUGAUUUUCAGUCUGGACAGAACCAUCAGAAAAACAUGGAACAGAGCUGUCCAACUCUCAAGGCUGGGAAAAAAACAGCCCAAAGUCCAUUAAUUCAAAGGAGUGGGAAGAAAAAGCCCAGGAUUUAAACCUUGGGGCUGAGAAACAGAGACAUGCAUGCACAUGCAUACACACAGAUGCGAGAGAGGGCUUGACAUUGUGUUUUACAGAAGGCAGAUCUUCUGCACACAUAUGACUUUCUUGUCUGCACUAAAGCAAUUUAACCAGCUGAGUCAUGUCUAUGAAGUUUCUGCUGUUAGCUAGUUCCUGAAUGCAGGGCUGAGUUUCUGGAAAGCUGAGAUUUAUUGCCCUGGCUGGUGUGAAGCCUAACAAACAAGGAGUAUGUGUGAGUCUUAGGAAUGUAUACUCCUGAUAGUCUGCCGCCUCCCUGGCUUUCGUCUGUAUCAUCAGACCCCAAGAGGAAUUUCUGUGGGUUCCCCCUGACCCACCCAGAUUGGUUAGCAUUCAGGGGAGUUUCUGAGUUAUGGAAUGGCAUAUUCAAGGUUUGGGGUGAAGCCAAAAUUCUGGAAGGUCAAAGGAAACCAA
Molecule: long non-coding RNA, 855 nt
Organism: Python bivittatus (Burmese python)
Lineage: Eukaryota; Metazoa; Chordata; Lepidosauria; Squamata; Pythonidae
Source: RefSeq, a predicted model, not a curated record